GGGUCGGAUGUCCUUUCCCUCGCAGGUGACCAGGAGCCGCCGGGCCAGCCCGCAAGGCCAGGAAGGCAGCAGGAACCACCGGCUGGCGCGCAGGGCUGUCUGCGGUGUCUCGUGCUACAGAGAGAAAUAGACGACCUUAAAGAGCAGCUUGCGGCCAUGCGGUCCCUGGCUGACAAGGGCCAGAGCCUCUGAAGUGAGUUGUUACACACACCGCUCCCCUUCGCACGGCCGUGGCUGUCGGCAGGGCCGGGGGCUGGCCCCGGCUCGGGCUCUUCCCGGACCCUGCGCUGUCGGGCAGGCGGAGCCCAGCAUCUCUGUAGCAGAGGGGCAGCUGGUGCCUUCGCAGCCAGGGAGCUGUGGCCAAGCCGGUUCCCUCCUGCCCGCCCUCAGCCAAGGCUUCCUCUCCCUGUUCUUUU
Callorhinus ursinus (northern fur seal) is the source of this 416-nucleotide long non-coding RNA. RefSeq lists it as uncharacterized. NCBI's taxonomy places the organism in Eukaryota, Metazoa, Chordata, Mammalia, Carnivora, Otariidae. The record is from RefSeq and is a predicted model, not a curated record.